CAAGCUUUCUCGCAAGGGAAGUCUUCUUGAUCACCAAGUGACAAUCCUCCUUAAUCUAUACGGUAUAACUAAAUUAUAAAUUCUGUCUUACUUAGCCUGUUUCCAACACUUUAUGAACUCAGUGUUUACAGAGAUGUGCCAAACUUCCUUUCCUUUUAGCCAAAGAUCAAACUGUCUAUCUGAGUAGUGAGCUGUUCUCCCAGCAGUGAGUUCUGAAGAACUGCUCAGUAAUUUUCCUGCUCACUGAUGAGACACCUUUCCAGCUUCUUCGAAAUCAAGAUGUUUCAAAUCUUCCAUAAAUCUCCAAGACUGAUCAGAGGGAAAGCCAGGAACAAUCAGCCUCUGAGCCUCUGCCCCAGAAGUUAGACAUCUCUUCUUCAAUCAAAGAAGAAACAUUUAUUAAGAAUCUAUUAUGAUUUGAGAACUGUCUUGGGCCCUGAAAAUAGAAAGAUAAAAAUGAAAGAAUCUUUCUGAUGAAAGAGUUUAUCUUCUAUAGAAAAAGAUAUCAUGCAAAUACGAAUAUCUAAAAUAUAAAUAAAUAAAUAUUUAUUAUAAUGGAA
Molecule: long non-coding RNA, 560 nt
Organism: Monodelphis domestica (gray short-tailed opossum)
Lineage: Eukaryota; Metazoa; Chordata; Mammalia; Didelphimorphia; Didelphidae
Source: RefSeq, a predicted model, not a curated record